CGGUGGCCACGGUUUCCAGGAAAGAAGAGAGAGGCGGAAAAGUUAACUUUCCGCCACCCACACAAAUAUUUUUGGCCGGCGUUGUCUUCACGCUGCCAAGCCAGGAGGGAGGAGUUGGCAGGAGCACUCCAAUUCAAGGUUCCCUCCCAAGGAGGAAGGAGGACUCCCAACCCAGUCGGGGAGCUUGGGCAGGCCCUAUGCAAGCCUGAGCCCCACAGCACCCACCUCUGUGCAGGAGCUGUGGGGGUCGGGACCCGAAACAAUAAUAGCAGCUGCCACUAACUGAGCACCUGCUAGGUGCUGAACCCAGCCCUUUACCUGACACUCCUGCUGUGUCAGUGCAGUCUAUACAGGAGGAAACUGAGGCACGGAGAGAUUCAUGACCCUCAUCUGGACACAAGCUCUAAAAUACUUGAGCCUUGGCAGAAAUGGCUGAUAGAGUCCACAGAACACGCUGUCCUCAUCUCAGAGAGGAGAACUCUGAACCCAGAGGGGAAGGAUUUACCUGCAGUUGUAUGGCAAGCCAGAGCCUAACCAGCCUAAAGAAACCAUGGGAGGAGAGGCUCUUACCCUCUCCUUUGCAGAUGUGGGCCCGGCUGCCUCACACUCCAGAGCAG
Homo sapiens (human) is the source of this 617-nucleotide long non-coding RNA. The record is from Ensembl. Lineage: Eukaryota; Metazoa; Chordata; Mammalia; Primates; Hominidae.